CCAGCACCCCGAGUGGUCGGGACGAUUAUUGGGCCUAAAGCAUCCGUAGCCGGUUUUACAAGUCCUCCGUUAAAUCCAACUGCUUAACAGAUGGGCCGCGGAGGAUACUAUAAGACUAGGAGGCAGGAGAGGCAAGCGGUACUCAGUGGGUAGGGGUAAAAUCCGUUGAUCCAUUGAAGACCACCAGUGGCGAAGGCGGCUUGCCAGAAUGCGCUCGACGGUGAGGGAUGAAAGCUGGGGGAGCAAACCGGAUUAGAUACCCGGGUAGUCCCAGCUGUAAACGAUGCAGACUCGGUGAUGGACUAGCUUUAUGCUAGUCCAGUGCCGCAGGGAAGCCGUUAAGUCUGCCGCCUGGGCAGUACGGUCGCAAGACUG
This 375-nucleotide ribosomal RNA is filed under the name uncultured organism. Its description in RNAcentral is "bacterial SSU rRNA". It matches the Rfam family "Archaeal small subunit ribosomal RNA", at positions 476 to 851 of the family's 1478-position model. The record is from RNAcentral.